CUUAAUAGAGUAUUGUGCAAACUCUAGACGAAAAGAAUGAGGCGACGGAGAGGCAAUGGGGAGUCUGUAAUGGUCGUUGCCCUCUCUCUGUUUUUUUCGCCGAUGAUUUCCUUUUCUGUUUUGCACCAAAUGCGGUAUAAUAAACCACCAUUGUUGAAAAUGGUUCAAUACAUAGAUUGCCCCUUAAACUUGCGCAAAGUCCCUUUUACAGUUUAGGGUUUAAUAUCUGAACCCAUACCACUUGCUUCUUCUGCUUCUCCAACUUCUUUUUCUCCUCCUUAAUGUGACGGAUGAGAGGCUGUGAUGAUUAAAGAUGUUUGGGUCGGGCAUUGGAGCGGCCCGUAUCUUGGCGGGGCGACCCGGAAUUCAUCUAUGUGAUGCAACUGAGGUCUGCAGCCAUGGCGAUCCUUGUCUCCUUUGCCUGAUUUUUUAUCAUCCGAGCCUCAAAAUUUUGAUCAAUUUUUGGAAAAACUGCUAUAUUACCCUCUGAAUUAGAUUAGCCAGAAAUGGCGAGAAUGAGGCGACAGAGAGAGUAUGGGAUUUUUUUUCAAGGGUGGUUGCCCCUCUCUGCUGUGUCUAUGAUUCUCCCUUUUUGUAACAAACCAACAGCCCUUAAAAAAGGAAAGAGAGAAAGAUAGAUGAUAACACUUCAGUUUCUGGAUUUGUUUGCAGUUUGCAUAUUAUUCAAAGACCCAAUACACACACAAUUAUUCUACAACAACUACGGGACCUCAGAUCUUAAUGAGGCAGUGAUGAUGAUUUUUUCUCUAUCUGGGGUAACUAAUUCAGGCAUGGAGAUUAUCCGACCCGUAUCUCGGCGUGGCAACCGAUAUGGUCUGUGAUUGAGAUUCUUCUCACUCACAUGCAACUGGUUUUUUGCAGCCAUGGCGUGGUUGGCUUCUCUUUUGCCUUUGUCAGACACACAUAUCUGAGCCUCAAUUUGGUGAAGAAAAUAUCAAUCUUUUAGAUUUUAUUGAUGUGGGAUAUAUCGAACCCACGCCCUUUUAAGUUCUAAUGCUUUUUUGAGCUGUGAAGUAUAGCCAUUGUUUUCUAUCAGUAGCAGCUCAAGAAUGAGGCAUUAGAGUGAAAUGUGGGAUUUUUUGUAACGGUGGUUGCCCUCCUUCUCUGGUGCUUUUGCAUUAUUUCUACACCAUAAAUAGAAACUGGAUUCUCAACUCAAGAACAAGAAUGAGGCUGCAUACAGAUGGAAAGUUUUUAAGGGUGUUGCCUUCCAUCUGCAUGCCCAUGAUAUUUCUGUAUUCUGCUACUGUCAAAGCAACAGCCCUUCUUUCAUGCUUAGCUGGCGCUCUAAUGGUUGUGAUGAUAAAGCUUCUUGAUUUUAUUGGAUUUGGGUCACUGGACCUGUAUCUUGGCAGUGCAAACCAGGAUGACUUAAGCAGAGUCUUAUUUUUCUAGCAAGCAUUCUUGUUUGCAGCCAUGGCGGUGUCCCUUUCCUUUACCUGAUCUUAUGACAGAUCUAAGCCUACUUAUGUACAUGGAAAUAGCUUUUAGAUUUGCCUUGAGAAAGAGAAGACAAUGGUGAAAAAAGUGAAAACUA
Molecule: non-coding RNA, 1558 nt
Organism: Nicotiana tabacum (common tobacco)
Lineage: Eukaryota; Viridiplantae; Streptophyta; Magnoliopsida; Solanales; Solanaceae
Source: RefSeq, a predicted model, not a curated record